This 482-nucleotide ribosomal RNA is filed under the name uncultured bacterium. RNAcentral describes it as "partial 16S ribosomal RNA". It matches the Rfam family "Bacterial small subunit ribosomal RNA", at positions 30 to 507 of the family's 1533-position model. The record is from RNAcentral.
AUUGAACGCUGGCGGCAUGCCUUACACAUGCAAGUCGAACGGUAACGGGCCUUCGGGUGCCGACGAGUGGCGAACGGGUGAGUAAUACAUCGGAACGUGCCCGAUCGUGGGGGAUAACGAGGCGAAAGCUUUGCUAAUACCGCAUACGAUCUACGGAUGAAAGCAGGGGACCGCAAGGCCUUGCGCGGACGGAGCGGCCGAUGGCAGAUUAGGUAGUUGGUGGGAUAAAAGCUUACCAAGCCGACGAUCUGUAGCUGGUCUGAGAGGAUGAUCAGCUACACUGGGACUGAGACACGGCCCAGACUCCUACGGGAGGCAGCAGUGGGGAAUUUUGGACAAUGGGCGCAAGCCUGAUCCAGCCAUGCCGCGUGCAGGAUGAAGGCCUUCGGGUUGUAAACUGCUUUUGUACGGAACGAAAAGCCUUCUUUUAAUACAGGAGGGUCAUGACGGUACCGUAAGAAUAGGCACCGGCUAACUACGUG